UCUAGGCCCCACUCAGUGGCCUCAGGAUUCAGAUCCCUCUCUGCUAGUCAUAGGAGAUCUUUCAUGUGGGCAGCUGGACCCAGACAGUCUCCAUGGUUACACGGCAACAACUCCUUCAGGACAGGGCCAAACUCCAGGAGGAUGACUUCCCCCAUGCUCACCCCUCACCUGUGGCCAUAAGGGAGGUGGAAGUGCGUCCUCUGCCUGCCGCCUUGGCAAAAUAAGGAGCCCCUUGGAACAAUGGCAGAGACACCGUUGAAACCAAGAACAAAGGAGUUAAAAUCUUCCCCAGCGUCAAAACUUUUAGGUUCCUAAGAGCAAGGCUGGAGAGGAUAUCGAGGUGGCCACUGAUGUAGGUUUCCAUCACAUCGACACAACCUACCUCUAUCAAAAUGAGAAGAUUGGCAAGGGCCUCUAAGAGAAGAUGAUGGAUGGUACUGUGAAGAGAGAGGAUAUAUUCUACACCACCCAGGUUUGGACUACUUUCCUUCCAACAGAACUGGAUCAAACAGCCCUGGAAAGAUCACAGAAGAAACUUGAACUGGACUACAUAGAUCUUUUUACCAUUCAUGUGCCAAUUGCUAUGAAGCUUUCAGAAGGAUUGAUUUCAGGGAUCUCACGGCCUCCACUUCAGAGAGUUAAGGACACUCCCUUACAUUCCUAAGUGACCUGGAGGGAACUCUGAAAGGACAAGUGAACCCCUUGGAGACCACAAGUUGCUUUUCAGAAGAUAGUAUCCUACAGAUAAGUAACAUAUGACUCCUUGGUUCUUACCUUACUUGUUGGACUAUUAGACAGCAGGCUACUUGGCUACAUCAGAUUUCGCCUGAGGUUCUAGGCAAGAAUCUUGAUUGGUUACAGGCCUCUUCUCUUGGAUUCCCCAAAGAUUAAGGUCUAUUAUGGAAGGGAUACUAAAAUUUAGGCUGUAUAUCUUGCUAAUCUGUGUGGUCAACCAUGUAAUUAUAAAAUGUGAAUUUAAGUGUUGUUCCAAAGCCUUUAUCAGAGUACUAAAGUAACAAUCAUGCAAAGUAUAUCUCACUCUCCCAACUUGUGCUCAAAAAUAUUUUAAAAUAAAGGUGAAACAAGUCCAUUCCUCUGACCCUGAUCCUCACCCUUUUAGAGCAGGAAGUAGCUAGAGUGGUCAUCACCCAGAUUUCCCAAGAUUGAGAAAUGAGCAUAAGACAGUGGGGAUUUAAACUGAGAACGAAGGCAUUAAAAUCUUCCCUAGAGGGAAAUCUUUGAGAUAAACUUUGUUAACAGCAGCUGGGAAUACACAAUAUAAUCAACUGUUGUUUAGAACUAACUAGGUCUUUCUGUCUCUCCUUAGUAUAUGAGUCAGAUGUUUUUCUCAGGAAGCCAAGGUCCUGACGUCAAGAUUCAGCCUCACAAGGUAAAAUGCACGCUAAAGAUGAAAAACAACCAGAAGAGUCCAGAUUGUCACAGGAAAAGAAAUUCAAUUUUCACAGACUUCUGGGAAGGCAUCAACCAGCAAGGACACAUGCUUCUCCACCCCUACUCAAAACUCCAGCACAUACUCCCCCUCCCCAACAUAAAACCUCAGAUAAAAAUGCCUGCUUUUUUCCCUUCAAUGAGGUGGUUUUGAGUUUUAACUCCCAUGACUUCUUCUAGUUUCCUUUCGAUAAUACACCUGUUUCAAUGACACAAUCCUGGCAUUACAGUACUUGGACCUCCUGUGACUCA
This is a non-coding RNA of Equus caballus (horse), 1701 nucleotides long. The record is from RefSeq and is a predicted model, not a curated record. NCBI's taxonomy places the organism in Eukaryota, Metazoa, Chordata, Mammalia, Perissodactyla, Equidae.